UUGAACGCUGGCGGCAUGCUUUACACAUGCAAGUCGAACGCGAAAGCGGGGGGCAACCCUGCAAGUAGAGUGGCGCACGGGUGAGUAGUGCAUCGGAACGUGUCCAGUCGUGGGGGACAACCAGUCGAAAGAUUGGCUAAUACCGCAUACGCUGGGGACAGGAAAGCAGGGGACCUUGGAGACGAGGCCUUGUGCGAUUGGGGCGGCCGAUGCCCGAUUAGCUAGUUGGUGGGGUAAGAGCCCACCAAGGCGUCGAUCGGUAGCUGGUCUGAGAGGAUGAUCAGCCACACUGGGACUGAGACACGGCCCAGACUCCUACGGGAGGCAGCAGUGGGGAAUUUUGGACAAUGGGGGCAACCCUGAUCCAGCCAUGCCGCGUGAGGGAAGAAGGCCUUCGGGUUGUAAACCUCUUUCGGUCCGGGACG
RNAcentral lists this ribosomal RNA (425 nucleotides) under uncultured bacterium. RNAcentral's name for it is "bacterial SSU rRNA". It matches the Rfam family "Bacterial small subunit ribosomal RNA", at positions 29 to 447 of the family's 1533-position model. The record is from RNAcentral.